RNAcentral lists this ribosomal RNA (497 nucleotides) under uncultured bacterium. RNAcentral's name for it is "partial 16S ribosomal RNA". It matches the Rfam family "Bacterial small subunit ribosomal RNA", at positions 28 to 507 of the family's 1533-position model. The record is from RNAcentral.
GAUGAACGCUGGCGGCGUGCCUAAUACAUGCAAGUCGAGCGAACAGACGAGGAUCUUUCUCCUCUGACGUUAGCGGCGGACGUGUGAGUAACACGUGGAUAACCUACCUAUAAGACUGGGAUAACUUCGGGAAACCUGAGCUAAUACCGGAUAUUAUUUUGAACCUCAUGGUUCUAUAGUGCAAGACGUUUUUUCUGUCACUUAUAGAUGGAUCCGCUCUGCAUUAGCUAGUUGGUAAGGUAACGGCUUACCAAGGCUACGAUGCGUAGACGAACUGAGAGGGGGAUCGGCGAAACUGGAACGGAGACAAGGUCCAGACUAAUAAGGGAGGAAGCAGUAGGGAAUAUUGGGCAAUGGGCGAAAGCAUGACGGAGCAACGCCGCGUGAGUGAUGAAGGUCUUCGGAUCGUAAAACUCUGUUAUUAGGGAAGAAAAAAUGUGUAAGUAACUAUGCACGUAUUGACGGUAACUAAUCAGAAAGCAACGGCUAACUACGUG